GUGCCAGCCGCCGCGGUAAUACGGAGGGUGCAAGCGUUAUCCGGAAUCACUGGGUUUAAAGGGUGCGUAGGCGGUCAGAUAAGUCAGUCGUGAAAUUCCUCGGCUUAACCGGGUGGACUGCGAUUGAUACUGUUUGACUUGAAUGAGGUUGAGGUAGGCGGAAUGUGGCAUGUAGCGGUGAAAUGCUUAGAUAUGCCAUAGAACACCGAUUGCGAAGGCAGCUUGCUGGGCCUUCAUUGACGCUGAGGCACGAAAGCGUGGGGAGCAAACAGGAUUAGAAACCCCUGUAGUCC
RNAcentral lists this ribosomal RNA (293 nucleotides) under uncultured bacterium. RNAcentral describes it as "partial 16S ribosomal RNA". It matches the Rfam family "Bacterial small subunit ribosomal RNA", at positions 505 to 796 of the family's 1533-position model. The record is from RNAcentral.